GUAAAGAGCAAAGGUAAUGGUGGUAUUUCACAAAUGCCUCAGCUUACAGGUACUGAUGAUGAUGACGUGCAAAGCAAGUCCAGUGAGAAGAAAAACAAAAAACGAAAGAGAAAGCAGGUUACCGACCUUCGUUUUGCAGACACGUUGGAGGAAUCAAGUCGACGUUUAAAGAAACGAGAACGUCGGAAAAAAUAUCAGGAGGCGAAGAAAAACAAACAUAAAAAAGCCAACACAGAGGAGGAUCUAGACUUCCCAAAACAUGAAAAAAUAAAAUUUGGAGACGUG
RNAcentral lists this unclassified non-coding RNA (285 nucleotides) under Hevea brasiliensis (rubber tree). The record is from RNAcentral. Lineage: Eukaryota; Viridiplantae; Streptophyta; Magnoliopsida; Malpighiales; Euphorbiaceae.